UGAGGAAUAUUGCGCAAUGGGGGCAACCCUGACGCAGCAACGCCGCGUGAACGAUGAAGGCCUUCGGGUUGUAAAGUUCUUUUCUGAGGGAAGAUAAUGACGGUACCUCAGGAAUAAGUCCCGGCUAACUACGUGCCAGCAGCCGCGGUAAAACGUAGGGGGCGAGCGUUAUCCGGAUUUAUUGGGCGUAAAGCGCGCGUAGGCGGCUUUGUAAGUUGGAUGUGAAAGCUCUCGGCUUAACUGGGAGAGGUCGUUCAAUACUGCAAAGCUUGAGGUUGGAAGAGGAGAGUGGAAUUCCCGGUGUAGUGGUGGAAUGCGUAGAUAUCGGGAGGAACACCAGUGGCGAAAGCGACUCUCUGGUCCACACCUGACGCUGAGGUGCGAAAGCGUGGGGAGCGAACGGGAUUAGAUACCCCCGUAGUCC
This 424-nucleotide ribosomal RNA is filed under the name uncultured prokaryote. Its description in RNAcentral is "bacterial SSU rRNA". It matches the Rfam family "Bacterial small subunit ribosomal RNA", at positions 355 to 796 of the family's 1533-position model. The record is from RNAcentral.